This is a non-coding RNA of Gasterosteus aculeatus aculeatus (three-spined stickleback), 943 nucleotides long. NCBI's taxonomy places the organism in Eukaryota, Metazoa, Chordata, Actinopteri, Perciformes, Gasterosteidae. The record is from RefSeq and is a predicted model, not a curated record.
CUCGGGCGGGAGGGAGAGAGGAGGACACACGCCACAGAGGAGCCAGGCGUCGAGGACGCGCAGCGCGCAGCGAGCAGAGAGGCGCAGAGAAUGCGGCCCGGCGAGACGACGAAAAACGCCCGAAAAUGCCGAGGAAGACGGGGGAGACGACGGCGGGUCGAACCAGCCUGAAGGAAAACGGGAAUUCCCUUGACGUUUAGACAAAGGAGAAAAGGGAUCAUCUAAUCCACGCUAAAUGGGGUUGACAUUUAACCACAAAGGAGCGAUGAGUGGAAGGAUACUGGAGAUUCGUACUGCAACUCAGAUUUCAGACGUGAAUAUGGGGGUGAAGAUUUUCAAAUUUUGAAGACAAAGAAGACUGUGCUACGCCAGGAAACUGGAUAUUGCUGAAGUGGCGACAACGUUGUUUAACGUGAAGAUGGAACCUUUUUUUUUCCUUUUUGCAGUAAACCAAACGUUUACGGGAUGCAACCAUCCUUUUUUUUGACUGGACUUUGCCAUUUGGAUUUUUUCAUUUUUGAGAACAGGGAGACUGGAACAAAGUUGGUGGCUGUUUGGUGCACUUGAACAAUUGGUUAUUUUUUCGGGAGAACACAAAAUCAGCCUUUGUACAUUUGAUUUCGCAAAUGUUUUUAAAUAAAGUGUAUGCAAUUGCAUUUUUCCCUGGCUUUGUUUCAAUAACUAACGGUACAGAAAAUCACAAUGGGAUAUUGAGCGUAACAUUUUAAUAACGGUCCUUUUAGCUCGGCUGUUUUCAACAUUCCGCUAUUUCGUAAAACCAAUGAACUUGGUUAGCACUGGCUUUGUUUCAGCCAGUCAUCAAUGGAUGCUAAUUUCGGUGAGCGUCGUACUGGGUCGACGAAUCUCCUGAAGUACAGCCCUCUUGAUUCAGGAGGCUCUUUGUUUCUACAAAAUUAUUAAGAUUAAAGAAGAUUGUGUGAAA